AAUUUUAAGGUCAAAUAAUACCAAACUCAUACCAGCUUAACCUAAAAAUAUUUCUAUAUAACUAAAAACAGCCUAGAAAUCCUUAGACUCUACAUAUACAGACAGAAUCCGCCAUUUUGGACCUUAGGAGACCCCCUGAACGUCAUCUCCCUCGACGCACCCCAUCUCUGAAAGCACCCUUGAAUUUCCAACGAGCCCACCCUAGCGAGAACCAGCUUCAGCCGCAAGACACACAUACACACACAAGGGACGAAAAUAAUAGGGCUAGGAAAAGGGACCGAAACAGAGAGAGACGAGUGGAAUGAGAGCAUAAGAGCCGAGUCUGAAUCUGAUCGGAAAAAAAGAAGCUCCGGCGACCUCCAUAAAUGUCGGCGAUGCCAUUUUUGGACUCCAUUAAAACAGCAGCCAUCAAGCUCUUAAACCUAGUCCCCCCCCCCCCCCCCCCAGCUUAAAACCACCCAAAAACACCAUGUAACUAACCACCGAUUUGUUGUUCUAAACCAGUCGAGGAACACCCCUUAAACCACUGCAAAACUCGUCGAGUCAGGGAGGCCUUCAUUUGAAAUCUGUUCGUCGUUUCCGUCGUCCAAGGUCCCGGUCUAAAAUUUUGGCUUAUGAAAAGAAACUGAGGCACGAGUUCCCCAGGUUCAUCAUGGUUCGGAAUAUCCCGCCUUUGCUACUGGAUUGGUGGGAAAAUCUUUUACCAAGCAACAAAAAUCACGUGAAAAGAGUUCUUGGGAAUUUACCAUCUUUGCUAGACAUUCAACCGAACAAUGAACUGAUCGAGGCCGCUACUAUGUUCUGGUUCUGUUUCGGGAUAUAGAAAUUGUUACUAGAUUUUCUAUAGGAAAAAUUAUAGGAAUAAAUUGUUAUUCCUUUCCUCUACAGAGAAACCUUUCUUCCAAGUCACACCAUAAGAGCCAUUUAUUAUCUUUCUUUGAUUCCAGAUCAAAGAUUAAUUUUAUCAUUAAUUUCUAUCUAGACUAUAUAUCUAUAUUAUAUUAAGUACAUUGUAGAUUUCGAUGUAUAUCUAUCAGAUCAUGGCUUCAUGUACCAAAUAUUUCAAUAUCAUUGCAUCCGGUAUUUUUGUUUUGUUCCAACAGUGUGAUGAAGAAUAGAUCCGAGAAAGAGACUUUCAUUUCCAGUCUCUUAUUUAUUUUAUUUUUAUUGAAUUUUUGAUUUUCUAAAAGGAAAAUCUAAAAG
Molecule: non-coding RNA, 1203 nt
Organism: Nicotiana tabacum (common tobacco)
Lineage: Eukaryota; Viridiplantae; Streptophyta; Magnoliopsida; Solanales; Solanaceae
Source: RefSeq, a predicted model, not a curated record